CAAAAUGUAGCUUAAUAAAAGCCCCUUGUUUACACCAAGACCCUGUCUGUCAAACUCAGAUCAUUUUGAG
Molecule: transfer RNA, 70 nt
Filed under: Cornufer magnus (Kavieng wrinkled ground frog)
Lineage: Eukaryota; Metazoa; Chordata; Amphibia; Anura; Ceratobatrachidae
Description: Platymantis magnus (Kavieng wrinkled ground frog) tRNA-Val
Source: RNAcentral